Molecule: long non-coding RNA, 454 nt
Organism: Gossypium raimondii (Peruvian cotton)
Lineage: Eukaryota; Viridiplantae; Streptophyta; Magnoliopsida; Malvales; Malvaceae
Exons: 3
Source: RefSeq, a predicted model, not a curated record
GCCGAAAAUACAAGAAAAAGAAAAGAGAAAAAGAGUUCUAGGGUUCGGCACUUACAUUGGCUAAUUAGAUCAAGAAUUAAAGAAAUCGGACCUGGAUCGGGGGAAAACAAAAGUCAUUGAUUAAUCAUUCCGUUCCGGUUUAUCGCUGUCCGAGCUAAUUAUGGGCUCGGGGAUCGUCAGUGAAAUCAGCCACACUAUCGUCCGUUAUCGGUAUCUAUAAAAGUUAAACUUAAACCUAUGGCAUGUAUAGAUGAUACCACCUUUUUGAAUAUAUUUUGAAUGAUGUAUAUAUAUAAUAAGCCAUGCGAAAAUGGCUUGUUUAUUUUGAUAUGUAUAGUUUCAUGCUUUGAUCAAAUAUUAUGGUUGGUGAUUUGGCUAUGUUUCGUAAAUGGUUGUGAUAGACAAGUAAAGUUGAUUGAUAUGAUAUGAUAUUGUGUGAGCUAAGUUUAAGAUC